GGUGGCUCAGUGGCAGAGCGCUUGCCUAGCAUGCAUGAAGCCCUGGGUUCGAUUCCUCAGUACCA
RNAcentral lists this transfer RNA (65 nucleotides) under Dipodomys ordii (Ord's kangaroo rat). It matches the Rfam family "tRNA". Rfam says of the family: Transfer RNA (tRNA) molecules are approximately 80 nucleotides in length. Their secondary structure includes four short double-helical elements and three loops (D, anti-codon, and T loops). Further hydrogen bonds mediate the characteristic L-shaped molecular structure. tRNAs have two regions of fundamental functional importance: the anti-codon, which is responsible for specific mRNA codon recognition, and the 3' end, to which the tRNAs corresponding amino acid is attached (by aminoacyl-tRNA synthetases). tRNAs cope with the degeneracy of the genetic code in two manners: having more than one tRNA (with a specific anti-codon) for a particular amino acid; and 'wobble' base-pairing, i.e. permitting non-standard base-pairing at the 3rd anti-codon position. The record is from Rfam by way of RNAcentral. Lineage: Eukaryota; Metazoa; Chordata; Mammalia; Rodentia; Heteromyidae.